RNAcentral lists this ribosomal RNA (486 nucleotides) under uncultured bacterium. RNAcentral's name for it is "partial 16S ribosomal RNA". It matches the Rfam family "Bacterial small subunit ribosomal RNA", at positions 28 to 506 of the family's 1533-position model. The record is from RNAcentral.
GACGAACGCUGGCGGCGUGCUUAACACAUGCAAGUCGAACGGGCUCUGUCUGGCUGUGUGCUGGGUGGGGUUAGUGGCGAACGGGUGAGUAAUACGUGAGUAACCUGCCCUCUUCUUUGGGAUAAGCCUUGGAAACGGGGUCUAAUACUGGAUAUUCCUGUCUGGUCGCAUGGCUGGGUGGGGAAAGUUUUUUUCGGUGGGGGAUGGGCUGGCGGCCUAUCAGCUUGUUGGUGGGGUGAUGGCCUACCAAGGCGUCGACGGGUAGCCGGCCUGAGAGGGUGACCGGGCACACUGGGACUGAGAUACGGCCCAGAAUCCUACGGGAGGCAGCAGUGGGGGAUAUUGCACAAUGGGCGCAAGCCUGAUGCAGCGACGCCGCGUGGGGGAUGACGGCUUUCGGGUUGUAAACCUCUUUCGUCGGGGGACAAGGCUCUGCUUGGUGGUGGGGUGGAGGGUACCCGGUGAAGAAGCGCCGGCGAACUACGU